This 254-nucleotide ribosomal RNA is filed under the name uncultured bacterium. Its description in RNAcentral is "partial 16S ribosomal RNA". It matches the Rfam family "Bacterial small subunit ribosomal RNA", at positions 524 to 776 of the family's 1533-position model. The record is from RNAcentral.
CACGUAGGGGGCGAGCGUUGUCCGGAUUUAUUGGGCGUAAAGGGCUCGUAGGCGGCUCAGUAAGUCGGGUGUGAAACCUCCAGGCUCAACCUGGAGACGCCACUCGAUACUGCUGUGGCUAGAGUCCGGUAGGGGAGCAUGGAAUUCCUGGUGUAGCGGUGAAAUGCGUAGAGAUCAGGAAGAACACCGGUGGCGAAAGCGUUCUGCUAGACCUGUACUGACACUGAGGGACGAAAGCUAGGGGAGCGAAUGGG